Molecule: long non-coding RNA, 2831 nt
Organism: Conger conger (European conger)
Lineage: Eukaryota; Metazoa; Chordata; Actinopteri; Anguilliformes; Congridae
Exons: 2
Source: RefSeq, a predicted model, not a curated record
UUUUAUCAAGCAACAUUCUGAAACAACUGUACCAAGAGCACAGCUUGUUUGGGUUCAGCCUCCUCACCGCCCCGCGGAUGAAGACCGCGGGCCGUGACUGAUCUAAUGGGCUUGGUGCAACAGACAGUUUGUGGCAUGACCAUCUUCCACCAUCCGACGUCUGAUCCGCUCCUUACAGAACACGCCUCAACCCGCACAACACCUGAUCUCAGCCCUCUCCAGGUAUCCCCACAGUCAGCCCUACGACCCUGGGUAUCCAAAGGCAAAGUGGGACUCAGGAAGGGCUGCCAUUUGUGAAGAACCUGAGAGCUGGGGCUCAUGAUACGCUUCAAAGGACCAGAGGACAAUACUGUUCAGACUUCCUUUGGGGGGGUUUCAGACCAUCGGCUCCGAAGGUGAUAAGGGGAAGAUGGAUGGUGGUUGUAUGUGUGGUUUAAGGGCAUUUAGGUCAUUAAAGGGUCAUUAAGCCCCUGACCAAACCAUGGAAAAAGAAUGUCCUCCAGAAUAUUUGUGCCCUCUCUUGUGACCCCACACCUGGUCAUUUCCUAGGGGAAAGAUUCCCCUCAUUUGGGCACCGCUGUCAUUACACCAGUUACUGCUCUCCUAGAUUAAAGCUACAAAACUGCUGUUGAGAUAGUCAAUAGACCGGGUAAAACUAGAAAACAUUGCCCAUGUGAUCGUUAUAGUGUAACCACUCCCAAGAUUUGCGCAUGAUUAAACCCAAUUUCUAAAUUCUAUCUUAAAAUGGAGUCAGAUUACAAAGGUGAAUGUAUUGGCCCUAUUGUGGAGAUUCUUGGUCGGCCCGGACUAGUAGAGAGUGGAAGGCAGAGUGAUACUACUGUCUUUGUAACGUGGUUUAUUUAUUGGCUGAUCUAGACUCUCCGAAUAGAGGCCAUUACUAUUUAACCCCACUAAUAUUCUUCCAACAACACCAGAAGGACAAGCUUCGCUAAAUUCCGUCGUUGGGUUAGCAUGGGGUUUUACAUUGUUAUACAUAUAGCUUAAAUUGAAUCUAUAAUUUUAAUUAUUAGUUAAAAUUUCUUAAUUAAGUGUAAGUUUAAAAGAGUUUGAAAUGAAUGGUAGCUAUUAAUUAGAUUUAACAAUCAAAUUACUACCGACAAUCAAACUCAUGAACCCUGUAGAGGUCUUUGAACGGAUCAAAGUUGGCUUCAUAGAAUAAUUUGAAUAAACUGACACAGGCAUUUAUUUGUCAUUUAUUUGGCAUGUUGCCUAUAGCAACAUACAAAUCAAACAACUCACACUUAAUCACUAAAACAAGUACAAUGCUAUAAAAGGUGCGGCUAACUAUGGAGUUGUAGGAGAGGGAGAGCAUGUGUAGAUAAAAGUAGGGUGUGUUUGGAAUGUGCGUCAGGGCAUGUGCACAUAGGAUGGAAUGUCGUGCAGGGUGAACACGCGUGUAUAAUGGAGUCUGUGCGCAGGCAUGGACGCCGGGAGGUUCAAACAUAUUGGACAAAAGAAUGGUGCUGAAAAAUGGCGUGACCUAAAUAAGUAUCAAAGCUGGUUUUCAGCAGCUAAGAUGCACUUAGACGGUUAACCUUAGAUCUGCAACUGGUCGCAGAUACAGAUUAUGUGCGUUAUAAAUUCUGUAUGGAUGGUUAGAGCAUGCAGGAAAGGAAGGGAUAGAAGAUAGGGAACAGGAAAAUGCUUGCGCAAUUUCUCUGGCCUAAGUAAUAUUCUCUCCAGCAAACAAAAUACAAUAGCCACCUCACAAUACUCUCACAAUACAAGUAUCUGUUACAUUACUGGCAUUUGGCAGACGCUCUUAUCCAGAGCGACAUACAGUUGAUUAGACUAAGCAGGAGACAAUCCCCCCUGGAGCAAUGCAGGGUUAAGGGCCUUGCUCAAGGGUCCAACAGCUGUGCGGAUCUUAUUAUGGCUACACCGGGGAUCGAACCUCCAACCUUGCGGGUCCCAGUCAUUUACCUGAACCAUUACGCCUGAUCUGUGUUAGCGGUUACAAAAAUUAUGGGGUUGCUAUCACUUAUACUGGGCAAUGCUGAUGAAACAGCCAGUUCUUACUCUGAGUCGACAAGCUCUUUGCAGCGUCCCCGAACAGGUCUUGAGUCGGGCAAUCCCAGAGAAUUUGGUGGCUGGUCUCCUGUAAAAAAGGGGUCCGGUCGCCUCUUCCAACUUGUGCGCGUUUGAAAGUAAAAAAAAAGAAUAAUACCGAUUGUCAGUAUUGUAGAACUUUGGUUUCCCGGGUGGAUGCUUCUUGCAAGGCAAAUUAAAUUAGGCGAUCAAGCUACUGUAUGCAGGCCUAACUUAUCGAAGCGAAUAGAAGAGUUCCCUGCUACUGUCCGAUGUAGACGAAGAGACCGAAAUCUUCUCUUAAACACUGUAACUUGUGCAUGAAUGGUACAGUAACACUCUGUCCCCACUGGCUGUCGUUUGUUUGGGAUGUAGCUGCCAACGAAACUAGACCGGGUCCGUAUCAUUGUUUUCUUGUCGCUUGUGACGUUACAUCCCUGUCCAGCUUCGCAAGCGAAUAUCAACCCCUGCUGGAAAAAACUGUUUGAGCUAGGUUUGGAAACAGCUGGUUGACCAUUUAGACCAGCUCCAUAGGCUAAUCCCAGAAUUCCAAUGUGUCCAACUGAACACUGUGUACUGUAACAGUUUUAUGUUCAUGGCUAUUGUCAGUUGUAUCUCACAUACCUACGCUAAUUCAGAAACAUUUCCCUAGGUUAGUGAAAUGUAGUCUAUCCUAUAUGGUGCUUCAUAUGUCAGUUAUCGCAAGUGUUCGCAUUGAAAAACAAUUAUUUCCCACUGUAACAUCUGUAAGAAAUGUAUUGGUAAUAAAUAUUCCAUUUGGA